UAGCGUGGGAACAUACCUUUUGGUUCGGAACAACACAGGGAAACUUGUGCUAAUACCGGAUAAGCCCUUACGGGGAAAGAUUUAUCGCCGAAAGAUUGGCCCGCGUCUGAUUAGCUAGUUGGUGAGGUAACGGCUCACCAAGGCGACGAUCAGUAGCUGGUCUGAGAGGAUGAUCAGCCACAUUGGGACUGAGACACGGCCCAA
This 204-nucleotide ribosomal RNA is filed under the name uncultured bacterium. Its description in RNAcentral is "partial 16S ribosomal RNA". It matches the Rfam family "Bacterial small subunit ribosomal RNA", at positions 113 to 334 of the family's 1533-position model. The record is from RNAcentral.